Molecule: non-coding RNA, 163 nt
Organism: Pelobates cultripes (western spadefoot toad)
Lineage: Eukaryota; Metazoa; Chordata; Amphibia; Anura; Pelobatidae
Source: the annotation of a GenBank genome assembly
GUCAGUAGACACAUUCCAGCCAAUCAGCAGCAGACCCUCCCUCCCAGAUCCUCCCACCUCUUGGACAGCAUCCAUUGUGAAGCUGCAUUCUUAGUGAGCUGUCCAGGAGGUGGGAGGGUCUUGGAGGGAGGGAUGCUGGUGAUUGGCUGGAAUGUGUCUUCUG